Long non-coding RNA from Dromiciops gliroides (monito del monte), 765 nucleotides. RefSeq lists it as uncharacterized. The record is from RefSeq and is a predicted model, not a curated record. NCBI's taxonomy places the organism in Eukaryota, Metazoa, Chordata, Mammalia, Microbiotheria, Microbiotheriidae. The transcript has 3 exons.
AGGAGAGAAAGCAAGAAAAACCUCAAAGAAGCCAACUGUUUUGUCUGGGAUGGUACAAAGAAUAAGUGUUGGAGUGAAUUUUUUUGGUCUAACGGAAAGAAGCGAUGGGAAGAUGUAAGGUGAGGUCAUCAACCAGACGGUGACACACAAACAGUUAUGAGAGGCAUGGGAAAUACACAGAACAACCCUGAGGAUGUCUAUCACUGGAAAGAGAGCAAGUUGUAACCACACUAAUCGGUGUCUGCCCAGUGUCCAACUGCUUUUCCUUCAAACCACUUGAAGCCCUUUUGUGUGCUGCACUGACAGGAGGUGGAGUCACAAGCUAGUUCACUGCAAACCAGGUAGAUAAGCCUGUGGUGACAUGAGCAACCAGCACAGCUACAGAAGGCUGACAAGACUGAGGACAGCCAUUUCCCCUUCUGAGCCUCAGUUUCCUCGUUUGUAAAAUGAUAAUUAUACUGACUCCAAUAUACAAAGCACAAGAGUGGAAGAACUGAUAUUUGCACAAAUGAUCGUAUAUAAUGGGAAGCUUUGGGCCAAAGGAUGGAAACCUGAGGUCUGGUUCUGAAACUUUUAGCAGAUGAUGUUACAUCUCUCAUCCUUAGUUUCUUUUAUGUUCAGUAAAAUGGAUAUGAUAAUAGUGUCAGUCUAUCUCACAAGGACUAUUGUGAGGAAAGUAUUGGAUGAACCUGAAAGUGCUAUAAAAAUGUAAGCUAUUAAUAGAGUACUGCAGUGAGGAAAGCACAUUAGAUGUAUAUACGUACA